UUGAACGCUGGCGGCAUGCCUUACACAUGCAAGUCGAACGGUAACGCGGGGCAACCUGGCGACGAGUGGCGAACGGGUGAGUAAUAUAUCGGAACAUACCCUAGAGUGGGGGAUAACGUAGCGAAAGUUACGCUAAUACCGCAUACGAACUAAGGUUGAAAGUGGGGGAUCGCAAGACCUCAUGCUCAUGGAGUGGCCGAUAUCUGAUUAGCUAGUUGGUGAGGUAAAGGCUCACCAAGGCGACGAUCAGUAGCUGGUUUGAGAGAACGACCAGCCACACUGGAACUGAGACACGGUCCAGACUCCUACGGGAGGCAGCAGUGGGGAAUUUUGGACAAUGGGGGCAACCCUGAUCCAGCAAUGCCGCGUGAGUGAAGAAGGCCUUCGGGUUGUAAAGCUCUUUUGUCAGGGAAGAAAAGGUAGUCUCUAAUACAGACUGCUCAUGACGGUACCUGAAGAAUAAGCACCGGCUAACUACGU
RNAcentral lists this ribosomal RNA (480 nucleotides) under uncultured bacterium. RNAcentral's name for it is "bacterial SSU rRNA". It matches the Rfam family "Bacterial small subunit ribosomal RNA", at positions 30 to 506 of the family's 1533-position model. The record is from RNAcentral.